AAGAAAAGCAUGCUAUAUCUAUCAACGAAGACUUUGUUGUAACUGUUGAGUGCUUGACAACUCCAUCACAGCUCAAAAAUUGAAAAGAGUAUUGGAAUAGUAGAGCAGACUAGCAAUGAACAUCAGUAUUCAACAGAUGACCGCGAUGAGAUGCUAAUUAACAUAAUACAAACAAAGCCAGCAUUGUGGAAUUUUCAAAUUCCACUUAGUGAACGGACAAAGGCAAAAAAGAAAGCACUAUGGAAAGAAGUUCAAAAUAUGUUAGGAGGGCUUAUGACUAUGGAUGAGGCAAUGAAAAGAUGGAAAUAUCUAAGAGAUUGUUAUGUGCGUUACAAACGGCAAAUAAAAGCAUAUGUGCCAAGUGGAUCUGCUGCA
Molecule: long non-coding RNA, 375 nt
Organism: Cyphomyrmex costatus
Lineage: Eukaryota; Metazoa; Arthropoda; Insecta; Hymenoptera; Formicidae
Exons: 4
Source: RefSeq, a predicted model, not a curated record